GUCUUAUUGAUAAAUAAUUUUAAGUCUUGCCUGCCCCCUGUUUAGAUAAAUGGCCGCAGUAUUUUGACUGUGCUAAGGUAGCAUAAUCAUUAGUUUUUUAAUUGAAAGCUAGAAUGAAUGGUAAUAUGAAAAAAUAGCUGUCUCUUUUAUAUAAUUAAAAUUUUAUUUUUAAGUAAAAAAGCUUAAAUAAUGUUAAAAGACGAGAAGACCCUAUAGAAUUUUAUUUAAAUUAGUUUUUAAUUUAUUAGUAAUUUAAAAUUUAUUUGAUUAAUUUAUAUUUAAUUGGGGUGAUUAGAAAAUUAAAUAAUCUUUUCUUUAUAAUACCAUUUAUAUAUGAUUAUAUGAUUCAUUUUAAUGAUUAAAGAAUAAAUUACCUUAGGGAUAACAGCGUAAUUUUUUUUUUAAGUUCUAAUUAAUAAAAAAGAUUGCGACCUCGAUGUUGGAUUAAAUU
RNAcentral lists this ribosomal RNA (451 nucleotides) under Donacia hirtihumeralis. Its description in RNAcentral is "partial 16S ribosomal RNA". The record is from RNAcentral. Lineage: Eukaryota; Metazoa; Arthropoda; Insecta; Coleoptera; Chrysomelidae.